AUACUACUCCCUCCGUCCGAAAAUACUUGUCAUCAAAAUGGACGAAAAUGGAUGUAUCUAGAACUAAAAUACAUCUAGAUACAUCCCUUUUAUUCAUUUUGAUGACAAGUAUUUCCGGACAGAGGGAGUACGAU
Triticum aestivum (bread wheat) is the source of this 134-nucleotide non-coding RNA. The record is from Rfam. Lineage: Eukaryota; Viridiplantae; Streptophyta; Magnoliopsida; Poales; Poaceae.